Molecule: ribosomal RNA, 482 nt
Filed under: uncultured bacterium
Lineage: Bacteria
Description: partial 16S ribosomal RNA
Rfam family: Bacterial small subunit ribosomal RNA
Source: RNAcentral
GACGAACGCUGGCAGCGUGCUUAACACAUGCAAGUCGAACGAUGAAGCCGGAGCUUGCUCCGGUGGAUUAGUGGCGAACGGGUGAGUAACACGUGAGCAAUCUGCCCUUGACUCUGGGAUAACUGCGGGAAACUGUAGCUAAUACCGGAUACGACACCUUGGGGCAUCCCAGGGUGUGGAAAGAAUUUCGGUCAAGGAUGAGCUCGCGGCCUAUCAGCUAGUUGGUGAGGUAAUGGCUCACCAAGGCGACGACGGGUAGCCGGCCUGAGAGGGUGACCGGCCACACUGGAACUGAGACACGGUCCAGACUCCUACGGGAGGCAGCAGUGGGGAAUAUUGCACAAUGGGCGAAAGCCUGAUGCAGCAACGCCGCGUGAGGGAUGAAGGCCUUCGGGUUGUAAACCUCUUUAGCAGGAAAGAAGCGAAAGUGACGGUACCUGCAGAAAAAGCACCGGCUAACUACGUGCCAGCCGCCGCAGUAA